UACGUAGGCAGCGAGCGUUGUUCGGAAUUACUGGGCGUAAAGCGUGCGCAGGCGGUAAUGUAAGACAGGUGUGAAAUCCCCGGGCUUAACCUGGGAACUGCAUUUGUGACUGCAUUGCUGGAGUGCGGCAGAGGGGGAUGGAAUUCCGGCGUGUAGCAGUGAAAUGCGUAGAUAUGCGGAGGAACACCGAUGGCGAAGGCAAUCCCCUGGGCCUGCACUGACGCUCAUGCACGAAAGCGUGGGGAGCAAACAGG
Molecule: ribosomal RNA, 254 nt
Filed under: uncultured bacterium
Lineage: Bacteria
Description: partial 16S ribosomal RNA
Rfam family: Bacterial small subunit ribosomal RNA
Source: RNAcentral